This 1143-nucleotide ribosomal RNA is filed under the name metagenome. RNAcentral describes it as "bacterial SSU rRNA". It matches the Rfam family "Eukaryotic small subunit ribosomal RNA", at positions 4 to 1062 of the family's 1831-position model. The record is from RNAcentral.
UUGGUUGAUCCUGCCAGUAGUCAUAUGCUUGUCUAUAAGGCUAAGCCAUGCAUGUCUAAGAAUAAGCCCCAGAACGGUGAAUCUGCGAAUGGCUCAUUAAAUCAGUUAUUGUUUAUUUGAUGGUACCUUACUACAUGGAUAACCGUAGUAAUUCUAGAGCUAAUACAUGCGCCAAGCCCCGACUUCUUCACGGAGGAAGGGGUGCAUUUAUUAGAUUCAAACCAUCGUUCGGGUGUCAAAGCCCGUUCUUUUGAUGGUGAGUCAUAAUAACUGAGCGAAUCGAAUGGCUUUCACGCCGUCGAUGCUUCAUUCAAAUUUCUGCCCUAUCAGCUUUCGAUGGUAGGAUCUUGGCCUACCAUGGCUAUAACGGGUAACGGGGAAUUAGGGUUCGGUUCCGGAGAGGGAGCUUGAGAAACGGCUACCACAUCCAAGGAUGGCAGCAGGCGCGCAAAUUACCCAAUCCCGACACGGGGAGGUAGUGACAAAAAAUAACAAUGCUGGACUAUUUCUAGUCCGGCAAUUGGAAUGAGAGUAAUUUAAACCAAUUCUCGAGGAGCCAUUGGAGGGCAAGUCUGGUGCCAGCAGCCGCGGUAAUUCCAGCUCCAAUAGCGUAUAUUAAAGUUGUUGCAGUUAAAAAGCUCGUAGUCUGACUUUUUCGGCUGGCGGUUUUCAGCGCGUCCGGUUUUUUCAUUAAGAUCGUUGCACGUGCGCCGCCUGGUCGAACGAGGGCACCUCUUCCCCCCUUCACCGGGGGCGGGGGGGUGUUUUUGUACUUUGGAGGAACGCUUACCGUGCUUUUAAUUAAGUGCGCGCGGGAUUCCGAUAGUUUACUUUGAGAAAAAUAGAGUGUUCAAAGCAGGCGUUUAUUGCCUUUGAAUACAUUAGCAUGGGAUAAUGGAAUAGGACAUUGGUUCUAUUUUCUGAUUUGGUUCGGGGACCGAUGUAAUGAUUAAUAGGGACAGUUGGGGGCAUUCAUAUUCCAUGGCUAGAGGUGAAAUUCUUGGAUUCAUGGAAGAUGAACUACUGCGAAAGCAUAUGUCAAAGAUGUUUUCAUUGAUCAAGAACGAAAGUUAGGGGAGCAAAGACGAUCAGAUACCGUCGUAGUCUUAACCAUAAACGAUGCCGACUAGGGAUCGGUGAGAG